Molecule: transfer RNA, 85 nt
Filed under: Rickettsiales bacterium
Lineage: Bacteria; Pseudomonadati; Pseudomonadota; Alphaproteobacteria; Rickettsiales
Description: tRNA-Leu
Rfam family: tRNA
About the family: Transfer RNA (tRNA) molecules are approximately 80 nucleotides in length.
Source: RNAcentral
GGGGAUAUGGCGGAACUGGCAGACGCGCUGGAUUUAGGUUCCAGUGGAGAAAUCCUUCAGAGUUCGACUCUCUGUAUCCCCACCA